ACGAACGCUGGCGGCGUGCUUCACACAUGCAAGUCGUACGGUAAGGCCCUUUCGGGGGUACACGAGUGGCGAACGGGUGAGUAACACGUGAGUAACCUGCCCACAACUUUGGGAUAACGCUAGGAAACUGGUGCUAAUACUGGAUAUGUGCUCCUGCUGCAUGGUGGGGGGUGGAAAGCUCCGGCGGUUGUGGAUGGACUCGCGGCCUAUCAGCUUGUUGGUGGGGUAGUGGCCUACCAAGGCGGCGACGGGUAGCCGGCCUGAGAGGGUGACCGGCCACAUUGGGACUGAGAUACGGCCCAGACUCCUACGGGAGGCAGCAGUGGGGAAUAUUGCACAAUGGGCGCCAGCCUGAUGCAGCAACGCCGCGUGCGGGAUGACGGCCUUCGGGUUGUAAACCGCUUUCAGCAGGGACGAAGCUUUUUGUGACGGUACCUGCAGAAGAAGCACCGGCUAACUACGUG
This 464-nucleotide ribosomal RNA is filed under the name uncultured bacterium. Its description in RNAcentral is "partial 16S ribosomal RNA". It matches the Rfam family "Bacterial small subunit ribosomal RNA", at positions 29 to 507 of the family's 1533-position model. The record is from RNAcentral.